CGCGCCGCGAGCCGCCGCGCGCCGCAUCGCCAUCGCCAUCGCCCGUCGCCAUCGCCCGUCGCGUCGCCCUUGAGCCCCGCGCCUCACCCCACACAGAAGUCGCGCGUGCGCUGUCCCAUCGCUGUGCCCCGCGCCGUGCGCCGCGCGAACGUCCUGUCGCCGCGCCAUGCCAUGUGCGCCUAUGCCCUAACCGCCUCUAGCCCAGCAUCUAGCCGUAUUGGCCAUGAUCUGGCGGCCUUACCCUCCCCGCCAUCCUUCUCUCCGCCUUUUUCCACGAAUACAUUUCGUCGAACACCUUGGGCGCGUGCUGCAGCUUCUUCUCCGCUCCACCACCACCGCCGAACUUCGUCAUCCCGCCGUCUCUCGGAAUUACGUGUGCAUGUGGUUGGAGUGGUUUCAUCUUGAUUCUUAUCUAGAAAGGCCCAUGCAGAUGGAUUCAAUGAUGACGCGAGCGAUCGGACGGCUCUGCCAGCGUCGCGCGAUAGCGCUAAAUCGAGAAGACUCUCGAAUUAGAUUUUACGAUAAUAUUAUUAACAUUCUAUAAUUUAUAGUGAUAAGCAAAGUAUGAUCGUGACUAAAAUAAUAACUCCAUUAAUAAAAUAAUACUAAUGAUUCACUGUGAUUAUUUGAUUGAUACUAAAUCCAUCCGACAACA
This is a non-coding RNA of Oryza sativa Japonica Group (Japanese rice), 655 nucleotides long. The record is from RefSeq and is a predicted model, not a curated record. NCBI's taxonomy places the organism in Eukaryota, Viridiplantae, Streptophyta, Magnoliopsida, Poales, Poaceae.